CGUCUAGGCGGACCGGCAAGUCGGCUGUGAAAGUCCUCGGCUCACCCGAGGAAGUGCAUCCGAAACUGUCGGUCUUGAGGACGAGAGGGGAGAGUGGAACUCCUGGUGGAGCGGUGAAAUGCGUAGAUAUCAGGAGGAACGCCGGUGGCGAAAGCGACUCUCUGGCUCGUUCCUGACGCUGAAGCGCGAAAGCUAGGGGAGCGAACG
Molecule: ribosomal RNA, 207 nt
Filed under: uncultured bacterium
Lineage: Bacteria
Description: partial 16S ribosomal RNA
Rfam family: Bacterial small subunit ribosomal RNA
Source: RNAcentral